GACUCAGAGGCUGCUCCUGCAACAGAAGCAACAAUUGAAGAGAAUUCAGGGAGUGGAUAUGGGACAGAUGCACCUACAAAUGGAAACCAUCAUGGUCCCAGUAAUCCACGUACAUGCUAGGACUUCUGUAUUCACAACUUUCAUACUUUGAGCAUUUCGGAAGAGGUGGAGAAAUGCUGUGAGGCCUUUCAGCCAUAUCCAGCCUCUGUGCAGGGUAUGUCCUUCGAACAGAGUAGGGCUGUGGUACAGAGCAUUUGCGCUGUUGAUAGCAGAUUGAAUGGUUAUGAAAAGAAUGGCUUUUGCACAAAUGUAUUCUGUAGUCUUUCUUCCAUCAUGCAUAAUUAAUUAUUAAUAAUUAAAAGGCUCAAGCAUUGAAA
Long non-coding RNA from Dicentrarchus labrax (European seabass), 377 nucleotides. RefSeq lists it as uncharacterized. The record is from RefSeq and is a predicted model, not a curated record. The transcript has 4 exons. Lineage: Eukaryota; Metazoa; Chordata; Actinopteri; Moronidae.